Molecule: ribosomal RNA, 450 nt
Filed under: uncultured bacterium
Lineage: Bacteria
Description: bacterial SSU rRNA
Rfam family: Bacterial small subunit ribosomal RNA
Source: RNAcentral
GUGGGGAAUUUUGGACAAUGGGGGAAACCCUGAUCCAGCAAUGCCGCGUGUGUGAAGAAGGCCUUCGGGUUGUAAAGCACUUUUGUCCGGAAAGAAAACUUCUGCCCUAAUACGGUGGGAGGAUGACGGUACCGGAAGAAUAAGCACCGGCUAACUACGUGCCAGCAGCCGCGGUAAUACGUAGGGUGCGAGCGUUAAUCGGAAUUACUGGGCGUAAAGCGUGCGCAGGCGGUUCGUUAAGACAGAUGUGAAAUCCCCGGGCUUAACCUGGGAACUGCAUUUGUGACUGGCGAGCUAGAGUAUGGCAGAGGGGGGUAGAAUUCCACGUGUAGCAGUGAAAUGCGUAGAGAUGUGGAGGAAUACCGAUGGCGAAGGCAGCCCCCUGGGCCAAUACUGACGCUCAUGCACGAAAGCGUGGGGAGCAAACAGGAUUAGAUACCCUUGUAGUCC